RNAcentral lists this ribosomal RNA (253 nucleotides) under uncultured bacterium. RNAcentral describes it as "partial 16S ribosomal RNA". It matches the Rfam family "Bacterial small subunit ribosomal RNA", at positions 524 to 776 of the family's 1533-position model. The record is from RNAcentral.
UACGUAGGUGGCGAGCGUUGUUCGGAAUCACUGGGCAUAAAGCGCGCGUAGGCGGCCAAGCAAGUCAGGCGUGAAAUACCUCGGCUCAACCGAGGAACUGCGCCCGAUACUGCCUGGCUUGAGGGCCGGAGGGGAGAGUGGAAUUCCCGGUGGAGCGGUGAAAUGCGUAGAGAUCGGGAGGAACACCAGAGGCGAAGGCGGCGACCUGGACAGGUACUGACACUCAACUACGAAAGCGUGGGGAGCAAGCAGG